GACGCCUAGGCCCCGAAGAGACGGACUACAUCAGAAUUCUGAGCUGGGCACCCUGGGCACCAGGAUGUCCUCAGGCUUCCCCAGGUGAUUUUGAUUUGCAGGCAGGUUUGAGAACCCGCCCUCCGACCUCUUCCUUCUGCGAAGUCCUGUAGUUUGACCUACGUUUACCCUGUGCCUUUCGCUUCUUGAUGGCUGGCUUGUGUGUGUUUGUCUUGUCCCCUGAGCAAAGCCAAGUUCUUGCGAGGAAGCACCACCUAGCUUCCCUCACGACCCCCGGCGAGUGCUGACCUCCUUUCCACACUGUCAAGACGAGUUCGCCAGGAGGCUGGUGCACACACAGCAGGUCAUUUAUCUCCAUCUCUCUUCGCCUCCCCACGGGCCCUUCCUGCUCAGCAGCGGCUGUCACUCGGAUCCCCUAGGAGCCGACCUCUGCCUUUCCACGUGUGGCUCUCGGUGGGGACUCCUCAAAGCAAAUCCAGAGGGCCUGCCCCGCCCUCCAGACAGCCUGUCCCUAACGGCAGGGUCGAGGUCCGCGUGCGCCGCGCGUGCGCAGCCAGCCUGCGCCCCGUCCAUCCACUCCCAGCCCCCUGCGGCGGCCCCUUGGCCUCACCACUGCCCUGCAUCCUCGGGAGGUGCUCGGGGGAAGAGAAACAUGCAGGCUAGGGCAGAAAAUAUUCUCCAAAAUGGCCACAGAAACAUCUCCCACGCCGUGGACUCUUCUACCGUGUAACCUAGCCCCGCGGCCAUCAACCUUGCCCCCAUCCCUCCCCGGACCUGGCCAGACUUUUGUUUCUGCCUCUACCAAUAACAUGACAGAAGGGCCUCUGGAAGCGGGUCCUGAAAGGUGAUUCGGCUUCCUCCUGGGUCUCCCUCCUGGGACACUUGUUUCUAGAACCACUGGCCACAAGCCUUUAAAACUAUAAUGCACCUGCCUUGAAGCACUCGGAUGAGAACUAAGAUGAAAAUGCAUAGGGAAGACUUAUCCCAGCCUUUGGCAUAUAGCGAGCAGUUGCCACAAGCUGAUGCACAGGUGCGCAUCCUCUCUGCUGGGCCUGAAGACCCCGAUGGCUCCAACCCACUACGUGAAGCCACCUCCCCCUCCCCCGCCCCAACUCUGACAACGGCAUCUAUGUUUCUUCAUGGAAAAACCUUCUCGACUCAAUUCACUGCCAAGCCAGGCGAGCGCUCCAACUCGACAGAAUUAUCAGCACUGAGCUAACAGAGACAGAUGAACCGAGAGGCGAGUGGGGACAGCGAGCAAACAGAUCUAUUUCCCAGCUCCGAGAUCCGGUCUGGGCUUCCCCCCAACAAAAGACGAACUUCUCUGCGGAGGUGUCCACGGAGCCCCUGUGUUAAGUCAAUUUUCCUCCCCUUGGCCUUCCAUGAGUGGCUGAGGAAGGAGGUGGGGGGCCCAGGUGGCGAACCCCAACACUGGCCCUGAGCAUCUUCUCACCCAGGGAGGCUUUCCCGCCAUCCCAUCUAAGAGGCCGCUGGAGGACCAGGGGGAAAAAAGAGUUUGAAAAAUGCAGUUCUUUGGUGAAAAGAUUGGCUGUCUGAGGGCUGAAUGGAAAACAGUCAACUUCAAUCCGAUGGGAAAUUCUUCUUUCCCCGGGCUUUCUAUCUUACGAGUUUUCACAGCCAAUCUUAAGCCCCUGGCAGCCCCCUGGGGAUUGGAGCUGCUUGUAGGGGGGCUGUGGGUCCUGCUUGGAAAAGGCUCCCAAGAUGAUAAAACGGCGGGGCUCUCAAGUCAAUGAUCUGUGGCCGCAGACAGGCCAGGUGGUGCCCACACACAUGCUGCUAUGGGGGCUGUUGACCCCUGGGGCUGUUGCUUCCAGUGGAGGGGCAGCGCAGCUCCGGAGUCUUCCUAGUCCCCCAGGGGCACCCUGUGUGACCUGCUAAGUGAUUUCACGCCUCAAUGCCUGGACAGCCCCAUCUAUCACAUGGGACAGGGCGCACACCGUCUCUUACCACACGGGAGUCGGUCUAAAGAUCAUUGUUCACAUGUUUCGAGCUGGAGUGUUCCAGUAGCCCAGCACCUGGAAUUAGGACACUGGGUCAAAGGGCAUGUCAUUAAACAUUUUGAUAGAUACUAAAAGCUCUCCCAGUUUUCGCUCCUGUGUCAGGCAACUUUUACUGUGUAACAACUUGGAAAUUUCAGCUGCACAGAACCAGCAUUUGUUUUCUGGCUCACUUGCCUGCAGUUCAGCAGGCGGGGCUGAUCCAGGCUGGGCAUGGCUGGGCUGAGCUCCAGGCCUUGUCUCCUGUCCUCCUGGGACCUGUAGCUCCCUGGGUAAUGUUGUUCUCCUGGUGAUAGCCAAAGCACAAGAGGGACAAGCAGAAACAUUCCAGGCCCCUGAAGGCCUAGGCACAGAACUGGCCACCAUCACGCCUGCCCCCAUUCCAUUGGGCAGAGCCAGUCCUGUGGCCAAGCCCGGUGUCAGUGGGGCAGGGAGGCCUACACCUCCCGUGAAGUUUGGAGUAGGGGUGGAGUGAAUGCUUACAGAUGGGUAAUGCAGUCUACACAACCCCUGUCAUGUGUGUGCGUGUCUGCUUAUGCUCACACUCGUGCACAAAGAGGUAUGUGCAAGAAUGUUCACUGCAACACAGUGUGUGCUGUUGAAACCUGAAGAAAAAACCCCAAAUACGGUAGUCCCUCUGUAUUCGAGGGAUUGGGUCCAGGGCUCCCUGGAUACCCAAAUCUGGGAUGCUCAAGUCUCCCAUACAAAAUGUCAUAGUAUUUGCAUAUAAUCUAUGCCCCU
Equus caballus (horse) is the source of this 2759-nucleotide non-coding RNA. Lineage: Eukaryota; Metazoa; Chordata; Mammalia; Perissodactyla; Equidae. The record is from RefSeq and is a predicted model, not a curated record.